This 483-nucleotide ribosomal RNA is filed under the name uncultured bacterium. RNAcentral's name for it is "partial 16S ribosomal RNA". It matches the Rfam family "Bacterial small subunit ribosomal RNA", at positions 30 to 507 of the family's 1533-position model. The record is from RNAcentral.
UUGCACGCUGGCGGCAGGCCUAACACAUGCAAGUCGCGCGGAUGAAGGGAGCUUGCUCCUGGAUUCAGCGGCGGGCGGGUGAGUAAUGCCUAGGAAUCUGCCUGGUAGUGGGGGAUAACGUCCGGAAACGGGCGCUAAUACCGCAUACGUCCUGAGGGAGAAAGUGGGGGAUCUUCGGACCUCACGCUAUCAGAUGAGCCUAGGUCGGAUUAGCUAGUUGGUGGGGUAAAGGCCUACCAAGGCGACGAUCCGUAACUGGUCUGAGAGGAUGAUCAGUCACACUGGAACUGAGACACGGUCCAGACUCCUACGGGAGGCAGCAGUGGGGAAUAUUGGACAAUGGGCGAAAGCCUGAUCCAGCCAUGCCGCGUGUGUGAAGAAGGUCUUCGGAUUGUAAAGCACUUUAAGUUGGGAGGAAGGGCAGUAAGUUAAUACCUUGCUGUUUUGACGUUACCAACAGAAUAAGCACCGGCUAACUUCGUG